Long non-coding RNA from Oreochromis aureus, 1210 nucleotides. The record is from Ensembl. Lineage: Eukaryota; Metazoa; Chordata; Actinopteri; Cichliformes; Cichlidae.
GUCUGCUCACCCUCGGAUGUUGCUGUGUGUUCCGUUACCUGUUUUGCCUGCCUGUUAGUUUAUUUUUCCUCAGUGCGGCGCACGGAGCUUUCCGCUACACACUGGCGACCGCCAUUGGAGACUGGAAUCUCAACACAGCUGCUGCGGAAUUCCUCCUCAUGCCAUUCUGAGCCUAACUCACCGGCCUCUUUCUUGGCAGCAAUGUGGUCAGAGGAUGAAGAGCAAGCCUUCAUCGCUCCACCAUCACCAGUUUCCUCCAUCACCUCUGUUCCCUCAUCAGGGAGGAAACGUCGUUCACGCCACCGGCAUCCCUUAACUCAGCCGGAUUCUGGGACUUCUGAGCAGCCGGCUGGGGAGGGUACUAUUAUUGUCACAGAGAGAGCUGUCUGACUGAGGUACUGCAACAGCAGAGGGGCACCAAUACUCCUUGGAAGCGUGUAGUCCGCCAAACCAACGAAGAAGAAGAGAGCGCCACUUCUAACGGUCCAGACUCCGCUCAGCAAGGGACUGUCAGCAGCACCCUGCACUGAACCUUCUAUUUCAAUAUCCAAAUCAGUGUGGAGCAGAAUGCACCAUAGAGAUUUACAACUCUCCUGUUGAAUGCCUAAAGACUGAAGACUGCAAGGAAAGAACGCUAAUCUACACUGAGCAUCUGACAAGACUUGCAUCCAAGUCCUCAAACAUAUUGAAUCCAAAACCUGUUCCAGUUCCUCAGACACCAUCAGACUGUUUUGAAAGCCCUUUUACUAUCAAGUCUGGAUAAAAAAACUUUGUCAACCACUGCAAGUAUCAAGUAUUUAAAAAAAAAAAAAAAAAAAAAAAAAAAAUUAUUUGACUGUUUAUUUUGUACUUAUUUGUUUUUGGUUGUAUUAAGUUUGAUAUUAAUUAGAUCAGUGCCUUUUUAGUCAUUAAUUUGAUUAUUUAAUAUUAACUGUUAUGUUUAUUGCCACAUUUGUUGGACCUUAAUUUUUUUAGACGACAUUCUGGCUACAACAGCUGACAAUAAUUUACUGUAAAUAUGAACUUUUGAAUAAAAAACAUGUUUUGUAUUAUACAGCUCUUCUGUGCUUUGUCAAUAGGAGACGGUAAUCAAGCUUAUUAAAAUUGUAUUUUAACCGGUUUACAUUAUAUUAGGUUUUUUAUUUCAAUGUAAUUAUUGUACAAAAACCAAAGUUCACUCUGAAUUUUACAUUUCUCAACGAAGUAUGCU